Molecule: small RNA, 707 nt
Filed under: Pan troglodytes (chimpanzee)
Lineage: Eukaryota; Metazoa; Chordata; Mammalia; Primates; Hominidae
Description: processed transcript
Source: RNAcentral
AACAGGGCGAAGAUGGCUCAGAGUUAGGCUGGAGAGGGGAGGUGUCCCUUCCGCUGCGGCCGUCGGGUUUCUGCUACAUCCCAUUCACCGCCUCCUCCAUCCUUUUCUCCUCUGUGUGAGCAGCAGGACUUGCAUUUGUUCUCGCCUGCCUAGUGUCUUCCAAGGGAUAGAUGCCGUUUCCUCUGCUGGUCUCUGGGGGUGACGGGGGGCGCAGGGGAGCUUCUUGGGGGAAUCACUCCAACUCUGUGGAGCUGGUGGUGCUGCCUGGUGGGGCUCUCUCUUUGCCCGGGACGUGGAACAACUUUCAGCUGGAGGACGAGAGGGAAUAGUGAAGCUAAAGGUUGCUUUUCUCUGCACCCUCCGUUCUUGCUCCCUCUGCUCCAUCACUGGGACCUUGUCAGGCGUUCAUAAAGCAAAAUUUGCCGAACGAGGGUUCGCAGAAAGGUGGGGCAGAGCUCAUCUGACGUGGCAUCAGCCCGUGAUUGGUGGUCUACUAUUCUGGGAGAUAAAGAAGAAUUUGAUCAAGGCUGUUUGUGUCUGGCUAAUGUUGACAAUAGUGGAAAUGGACAAGAUAAAAUAAUUGUGGGUAGCUUUAUGGGAUACCUAAGGAUCUUUAGCCCCCAUCCUGCAAAAACAGGAGAUGGAGCUCAAGCCGAAGAUUUGCUUCUAGAAGUGGAUCUACGAGAUCCAGUACUUCAAGUGGAAGU